Molecule: ribosomal RNA, 468 nt
Filed under: uncultured bacterium
Lineage: Bacteria
Description: partial 16S ribosomal RNA
Rfam family: Bacterial small subunit ribosomal RNA
Source: RNAcentral
GACGAACGCUGGCGGCGUGCUUAACACAUGCAAGUCGAACGGAAAGGCCCUGCUUUUGUGGGGUGCUCGAGUGGCGAAAGGGUGAGUAACAAGUGAGUAACCUGCCCUUGACUUUGGGAUAACUUCAGGAAACUGGGGCUAAUACCGGAUAGGAGCUCCUGCUGCAUGGUGGGGGUUGGAAAGUUUGGACGGUUGGGGAUGGACUCGCGGCUUGUCAGCUUGUUGGUGGGGUAGUGGCUUACCAAGGCUUUGACGGGUAGCUGGCAUGAGAGGGUGACCUGCCACAUUAGGACUGAGAUACGGCCCAGACUCCUACGGGAGGCAGCAGUGGGGAAUAUUGCACAAUGGGCGGAAGCCUGAUGCAGCAACGCCGCGUGCGGGAUGACGGCCUGCGGUUUGUAGACCGCUUUCGCCUGUGACGAAGCGUGAGUGACAGUAAUGUGUAAAGAAGCACCGGCUAAGUACGUG